UGCAUAUUUUUCUCAUUAUUUAUACUCAUCAAUAUCACAAAUUUCUCUGAAUCAAGAGUUGAAGAGUAAAAGAGAAACCAUGAAUAAGUUUCAUAUAUUUGUCAUCUUCGUGCUUCUUCUUAUUAUCACAGUCCAAAUUGAAGGGCGAGGAAAAAUCUGCCAGCUGCCGAUUGCGUUCGAUAUACCGAACUGCACUACCGAUUUAUGCUAUCAAUUGUGUAGACAAGUGUAUGGUGUUGCAGCAGAUAUGGGAUUUUGUGGAAAAGGUUGUGUUUGCUUUAAAUACUGCAGAUAAAUUUGAGGCUGAUUCUAAAAGUUCUCGGCUUUGCAUUACAAUGUUAUAGCCAGUAUAAAUAAUAAUAAAAUUUAAAUUUUUCA
Molecule: long non-coding RNA, 378 nt
Organism: Mangifera indica (mango)
Lineage: Eukaryota; Viridiplantae; Streptophyta; Magnoliopsida; Sapindales; Anacardiaceae
Exons: 2
Source: RefSeq, a predicted model, not a curated record